UACGGAGGGUGCAAGCGUUAUCCGGAUUCACUGGGUUUAAAGGGUGCGUAGGCGGGCAGGUAAGUCAGUGGUGAAAUCUCCGGGCUUAACCCGGAAACUGCCGUUGAUACUAUCUGUCUUGAAUAUCGUGGAGGUAAGCGGAAUAUGUCAUGUAGCGGUGAAAUGCUUAGAUAUGACAUAGAACACCCAUUGCGAAGGCAGCUUACUACACGAUCAUUGACGCUGAGGCGCGAAAGCGUGGGGAGCAAACAGG
Molecule: ribosomal RNA, 253 nt
Filed under: uncultured bacterium
Lineage: Bacteria
Description: partial 16S ribosomal RNA
Rfam family: Bacterial small subunit ribosomal RNA
Source: RNAcentral